RNAcentral lists this ribosomal RNA (253 nucleotides) under uncultured bacterium. RNAcentral describes it as "partial 16S ribosomal RNA". It matches the Rfam family "Bacterial small subunit ribosomal RNA", at positions 524 to 776 of the family's 1533-position model. The record is from RNAcentral.
UACAGAGGUCUCAAGCGUUGUUCGGAAUCACUGGGCGUAAAGGGUGCGCAGGCCGCACGGGAAGUCAAAUGUGUAAUCCAGGGGCUCAACCCCUGAACUGCGCUUGAUACUUCCGUGCUAGAACCUUGGAGAGGAGUCUGGAAUUCUCGGUGUAGCAGUGAAAUGCGUGGAUAUCGAGAAGAACACUUAGGGCGUAGGCAGGACUCUGGACAAGUGUUGACGCUCAUGCACGAAGGCUAGGGUAGCGAACGGG